This 465-nucleotide ribosomal RNA is filed under the name uncultured bacterium. Its description in RNAcentral is "partial 16S ribosomal RNA". It matches the Rfam family "Bacterial small subunit ribosomal RNA", at positions 28 to 507 of the family's 1533-position model. The record is from RNAcentral.
GACGAACGCUGGCGGCGUGCUUAACACAUGCAAGUCGAACGGAAAGGCCCCUUUGGGGGUACUCGAGUGGCGAACGGGUGAGUAACGCGUGAGUAACCUGCCCUUGACUUCGGGAUAACUUCAGGAAACUGGGGCUAAUACCGGAUAGGAAUCCUUGCUGCAUGGGGGGGGUUGGAAAGCUUCGGCGGUUUUGGCUGGACUCGCGGCUUAUCAGCUUGUUGGUGGGGUAGUGGCUUACCAAGGCUGUGUCGGGUAGCCGGCCUGCGGGGGCGACCGGCCACCUUGGGACUGAGAGACGGCCCAGACUCCGACGGGAGGCAGAAGGGGGGAAUAUUGCACAAUGGGCGGAAGCCGGGUGCAGAAACGCCGCGGGCGGGAUGACGGCCUUCGGAUUGUAAACCGCUUUCAGCAGGGGCGAAGCUUGUGGUGACGGUACCUGCAGAAGAAGCACCGGCUAACUACGUG